This 273-nucleotide long non-coding RNA is filed under the name Elaeis guineensis (African oil palm). RNAcentral's name for it is "long non-coding RNA (EGUI_LNC034339)". The record is from RNAcentral. Lineage: Eukaryota; Viridiplantae; Streptophyta; Magnoliopsida; Arecales; Arecaceae.
UGAGUUGACAAAUAUAGGAAGGGGUGAAUUGAGGUACUCUUAAUUUUCUUUUAUUUUCUCUCUUGAGUCCCACUCAAUAGCUUGAAGAAUAAUGUCAAUAAACUCUCUAAAACUUAAUGCCCUUAUGUUUUCAUUUGAAAUCUCUUCAUUUAUAGUCUAAAAAUAUCCAUAAUUAAUAUUCUAGCCAUUACAAGCUUGAAAAUGCCAUAAGAAAUAAAUUUUGGCCACUUAAAAAAAUUUAAAAAACUAGCUGUUAUUCUAUCAGAAUUCUAU